RNAcentral lists this ribosomal RNA (744 nucleotides) under uncultured Bacillus sp. RNAcentral describes it as "SSU rRNA". It matches the Rfam family "Bacterial small subunit ribosomal RNA", at positions 552 to 1294 of the family's 1533-position model. Lineage: Bacteria; Bacillati; Bacillota; Bacilli; Caryophanales; Bacillaceae. The record is from RNAcentral.
UAUUGGGCGUAUGCGCGCGCAGGUGGUUCUUUAAGUCUGAUGUGAAAGCCCACGGCUCAACCGUGGAGGGUCAUUGGAAACUGGGGAACUUGAGUGCAGAAGAGGAAAGUGGAAUUCCACGUGUAGCGGUGAAAUGCGUAGAGAUGUGGAGGAACACCAGUGGCGAAGGCGACUUUCUGGUCUGUAACUGACACUGAGGCGCGAAAGCGUGGGGGGCGAACAGGAUUAGAUACCCUGGUAGUCCACGCCGUAAACGAUGAGUGCUAAGUGUUAGAGGGUUUCCGCCCUUAGUGCUGCAGCUAACGCAUUAAGCACUCCGCCUGGGGAGUACGGCCGCAAGGCUGAAACUCAAAGGAAUUGACGGGGGCCCGCACAAGCGGUGGAGCAUGUGGUUUAAUUCGAAGCAACGCGAAGAACCUUACCAGGUCUUGACAUCCUCUGACAACCCUAGAGAUAGGGCCUUCCCCUUUUGGGGGACAGAGUGACAGGUGGUGCAUGGUUGUCGUCAGCUCGUGUCGUGAGAUGUUGGGUUAAGUCCCGCAACGAGCGCAACCCUUGAUCUUAGUUGCCAGCAUUCAGUUGGGCACUCUAAGGUGACUGCCGGUGACAAACCGGANGAAGGUGGGGAUGACGUCAAAUCAUCAUGCCCCUUAUGACCUGGGCUACACACGUGCUACAAUGGAUGGUACAAAGAGCCCGCAAACCCGCGAGGGUAAGCUAAUCUCAUAAAGCCAUUCUCAGUUC